This 281-nucleotide transfer-messenger RNA is filed under the name Listeria monocytogenes. Its description in RNAcentral is "partial transfer-messenger RNA". It matches the Rfam family "transfer-messenger RNA", at positions 86 to 374 of the family's 374-position model. From Rfam's summary of the family: Bacterial tmRNA, also known as 10Sa RNA or SsrA, is named for its dual tRNA and mRNA-like properties. The record is from RNAcentral. Lineage: Bacteria; Bacillati; Bacillota; Bacilli; Caryophanales; Listeriaceae.
UAUAACUGCUAAAAACGAAAACUCUUACGCUUUAGCUGCCUAAAAACAGUUAGCGUAGAUCCUCUCGGCAUCGCCCAUGUGCUCGAGUAAGGGUCCUAUUCUAAGUGGGAUACGUUUUAUCUUUCCGUCUGUAAGAUAAAAAAGAGCUCAUCAGACUAGCGAUACAGACUGCCUGUCACUCGGCAAGCUGUAAAGCGAACCUUCAAAUGAGUUGACUAUGAGCGUAGAUUUUUAGGUAGCAAUAUGUUUGGACGCGGGUUCGACUCCCGCCAUCUCCAUUU